Molecule: ribosomal RNA, 500 nt
Filed under: uncultured Glomeromycotina
Lineage: Eukaryota; Fungi; Glomeromycota
Description: partial small subunit ribosomal RNA
Rfam family: Eukaryotic small subunit ribosomal RNA
Source: RNAcentral
CCAAUAGCGUAUAUUAAAGUUGUUGCAGUUAAAAAGCUCGUAGUUGAAUUUCGGGGUUAGUAGGCUGGUCAUGCCUCUGGUAUGUACUGGUCUCACUGAUUCCUCCUUCCUGAUGAACCGUAAUGCCAUUAAUUUGGUGUUGCGGGGAAUUUGGACUGUUACUUUGAAAAAAUUAGAGUGUUUAAAGCAAGCUAACGCUUGAAUACAUUAGCAUGGAAUAAUGAAAUAGGACGUUCGAUCCUAUUUUGUUGGUUUCUAGGAUUGACGUAAUGAUUAAUAGGGAUAGUUGGGGGCAUUAGUAUUCAAUUGUCAGAGGUGAAAUUCUUGGAUUUAUUGAAGACUAACUACUGCGAAAGCAUUUGCCAAGGAUGUUUUCAUUAAUCAAGAACGAAAGUUAGGGGAUCGAAGACGAUCGGAUACCGUCGUAGUCUUAACCAUAAACUAUGCCGACUAGGGAUCGGAUGAUGUUAAUUUUUUAAUGACUCAUUCGGCGCCUUACG